This is a non-coding RNA of Pelobates cultripes (western spadefoot toad), 210 nucleotides long. Lineage: Eukaryota; Metazoa; Chordata; Amphibia; Anura; Pelobatidae. The record is from the annotation of a GenBank genome assembly.
CAUGAGGAGUGGGAUUUCUAGGAAAUUCGGCCCAUAAGAGCAGGCCAGUCCAAUUAUCCUGAUGCUCAAAAGAAAAGCAGUUGAAAUACAAUUCCGGAGAUUGGUUAGCUCACUUAGCAGCUCUGUUUAUCUGAGGAUGAUAUGUGGAAGAGAAUGAAAGUUGGAUACCCAUCUCCGAGAAAAAAAACCUCCAGAGUCGGUAAAUCAUCA